Molecule: non-coding RNA, 72 nt
Organism: Trichosporon asahii var. asahii CBS 2479
Lineage: Eukaryota; Fungi; Basidiomycota; Tremellomycetes; Trichosporonales; Trichosporonaceae
Source: the annotation of a RefSeq genome assembly
AAUUUACUAAUAAGAAUUCUGAAUCAAUCCAACUAAAUAAAUUAAUUGUUACAGGUGAACCACAAAAUCCUA